RNAcentral lists this long non-coding RNA (1813 nucleotides) under Sinocyclocheilus anshuiensis. RNAcentral describes it as "lncRNA (ENSSANG00000022343.1)". Lineage: Eukaryota; Metazoa; Chordata; Actinopteri; Cypriniformes; Cyprinidae. The record is from RNAcentral.
CGGGACUCAAGCCCGUGCCACGUUACGUUACGGUGCGUUAGCCUCAAAUGUGUUCCCUGUCAUUUCUCGGUAAAGUGCUGUCCUUCCAUGGAUUCACUCAAGUAUUUGAGCUGAAGUAGAAUAAUCACAAGGAACAUAGUUGUCGGUAUCUGUAGUAGAUCUGCAGCGUAUAAAUCUCAGAAAGAGAGGAAUAGUGUUAUUUUAGUCCAAUACAGCGUAACUGCAUUAUGCAGAGUGGAGCCUUUUUUCUCGCUCGCAAAUAAAAUAAUGGGAGAGAAAUGAGAAGGAAAACAAAAGCGCAGCGAAUUAUUGACUACGAAAAUGAAGAGGAUGAGGAAGAGGAACAAAAACCGGACUGCUUCAGUAACGGUGCACAGAAGCGAAGAAAAAUGUAUUCUUCCAAAGAGAAAGCAGAAGAAAAUAGCUCAUCCGACGCCGGGCUUCAGAAGUUAGACAUCAAGGUUAAUGAGCUGGAUUGUUCUUCCGCAGACCUCUACACUGACAGUUCUCCUGCUUCUGAGUCUGAGGAGGCUCAUUAUUUACAGACCUAUUCGAAGAAGGAGCUUAUUGCCAUGGUCUUAUGCAUGCAGAGGGAAAUGGAGGACUUGAAGGAACAACUUAGGUGCCUUACAGGUCAGUAUUGUUUGAUUGUUAGGUGUUUUGAUUUAUUGAAUUGCAUAAAUCAAAUCUUCACAUUUGAUGUACUCACUACAGCAUGUGGAAAGCUAGCAAGAAACCUGGAAAUGCUGAUCGAGAAGACCCAGAUGUGGUCAAAUGGGAACAAUGGGACCUCUCUCGGGACCCCAGAUUCUGCCGAGGCAGAUGCUGUGAUACCAGAUGUGCGUUCUCCUCCAGCCAUUGUGAAUGGGCAAUGGCUGAAUCAGGGUCCAGGACCACAGAAACCUCACAAGGCCACUCAGAAUGCUCAAAAGGACGGGCUCUUCACAGAGUUUAUCACUCCUGAACUUUUGGAGAGGUGUAACACAGGCACCACUGCCCAAAAACUGACCAACGACCUGCUCCGUGGACUCUAUGAGAGGGAAUGCCUGGCUUCCCACUCUAUAUCUGGAGUCGUGUACAACAAGAGAGGCCAACCAAAGCCUGCUCUCCCCACCGAAGAGAUCCAGGCAAUCCUGAGAACCGUUCAGUAUUUCUUUCCUGGCAAGACUGACGCAGAGAUCAAGGGCUACAUCCGACAGAAACUGCAAAACGAAUCCAAGAGGCUGAGGAAGAAACCGUCACUCUCAGGCCAAUAUGAGUCUAGAGGUUUCAAUGUACCGUUAGAUAUGAUCGACCAGAAUUGAAAUGCACAGUUAGUGGAUAUUAAUUGCGUGUAAUCCAUUAAAUUAGCCUUAUUCGGUGUUACUUACAAUUAAAGUCCUGGACUCAAGUGAAAUUGAUGUGCAUUGAUAAUAGUCUUCAAAGAAAGUCACACUGAUCUCUUGCAGCUGCCAUUCGGCGGUUGACGGUUGUGGCGUUUCUGAUGUGAAAAUGCAAAUGAGCGAUUCCAGAUAAGUCCAAAUGUUGCAUUCACGAAAGCCUCUGGCUGCAUCAAGCACAGUCCACGCUUGGAUAUCGAGAUGUUUAGAUAUUAAUGAAUUAAUGAUGUGUCUCUGUGAACGUCUGUUUUUUUUAAUACUUUGUAUUUAACAGAUGUAGGAUUUCAGGACGUACCAUUGUGCGCGGAGCGUAAUAGGGUGUGACCAUUAUUUACAUUGUAUUUUCAAUGUAUUUCUUAUUUGAUGAUGUUAUUUGGUCUAUAUGACAACAGCUUUAUGUAUGUAAUUUUUUGUUAUUAAAUGCUGAAAACGCA